This 1378-nucleotide long non-coding RNA is filed under the name Physcomitrium patens. RNAcentral's name for it is "long non-coding RNA (PPAT_LNC006558)". The record is from RNAcentral. Lineage: Eukaryota; Viridiplantae; Streptophyta; Bryopsida; Funariales; Funariaceae.
ACUAUCAUUAAGAUGAUUGAAAAACUCUUUAACCAUUGGCAGAGUUUGUAUAUAAUAAUUUGGUACAUUCUUCCACUCAAAGAAAAUCUUUUUUUGUCAAUUAUGGUUAUCAUCGACGUUGUCGUAAUACAUGAAGUCUUGCUUGAGAAUGCUCCGGACACCUGGCUGUGGAAGGUAGAAUGGAAAUUGCAACAAUAAAAUCCUAACUAUAAUAGAAUUUUAACUAAAAUCUAAUUAGACUAUAAUAAUAUUAAGCAAGCUUUAAUCAAAUUAAAAAAAAACCUCAAAGAAAUUUCAAAGAAUCAAUAAAAAAUCUUAAAGAAAUACUAGAAUGAUCACAAAUAUCUCUCAAAUACAUCUCAAUUCAAUCUUAAUUUAAUUCUAGUUAAAAUCCUAUUGGACUUCAUUCAAAUUUUAGGCCAAAACUAAUUAAAUCUUAAAUCCUAAUAAAAUCCUAAAUCCUAAAUCAAAUCCUAAAUCCUAAACAAACCUUAAACCAAAUCCCAACCAAAUCCUAAACCAAACCCUGAAUCCUAAAUCAAACCCUAAUCAAAUCCUAAUCCAAACUCUAAAUCCUAAAUCAAACCCUAAUCAAAUCCUAAUCUUAAAUCAAAUCCUAAUAAAACUCUAAAUCAAACCCUAAAUCCUAAAUAAAACCCUAAUCAAAUCUUAAUCCAAACUCUAAAAUCUAAAUUAAACCCUAACAAAUUCCUAACCCUAAAUCAAAUCCUAACCAAACUCUAAACCCUAAACCAAUCCCCAACCAAGCCCUAAUAAUUGCUACAAUAGAUUUAAACCUCAAUAAUUAAUGAAUAAACCAUUGAUCUUAAUUCAAAAUUUUCAAACUUCUUAAAAAAUAAGUUGAAAAAAAACACAAAAAAUUUGAAAAGGAUCGAAAUUACCAAAUAGACGAUAACCUCAAAAAUGUGCUUGGAUAUUGGCGAACCUCUUUUUCCAACCUUGAUACCAAUCUUUCAAAGCCAAUAUCUCUCUUUUUCACCAUUCGAUUGAUCUCAAAAUUCUCAUAUAUAUAGAAAAAUAAGUCAAAUAUCUUUUCACACAAAUUUCAUUCCAAUCCAACUAGUAGAUUGCAAGAAAUCUUAAAAACCCUUAUUAGACCUAAAAAUCUAUUUUCUGAGACCUUAAUCCACUAAAACCUCAAUAAUCCUCAAUUCAACCAUUAGAUGGAGCUCAAAUUUACAAAAAAUAUUAAACACAACUAAAAACAUAAAUCCACAAAAUUUCACCUGUAGAUCUAUUACAAAACUAUUGAAAUCACCCAAUAUGUAAACCCUAUUUUAUUUCAUAAAAUCCAAGUCAUCCAAAAUAAACUUUGACUUUGCAAAGCUCUUACAAAGUCAUAACAACUCCAAAUUGC